RNAcentral lists this long non-coding RNA (1052 nucleotides) under Homo sapiens (human). RNAcentral describes it as "HSALNT0271497". The record is from RNAcentral. Lineage: Eukaryota; Metazoa; Chordata; Mammalia; Primates; Hominidae.
GUCUGAGUCCUGAGACCUUCCCCUGGAACCUCAAUAAAUUUACUUGAUCUAAAUGGGUCCAGGUGCUGGGGUGAUUACCCUUAUCUUGUCUCCUGCUAAAUCAUGGAGGUUUGGGGAGUUCCUUCAGAACCCCAAUAAGCUUCUUUGUGAAGCCUGGGGAGUUUCUUCAGACUCCCAAUAAAACUUGUUUAAUCCUAAAUGGGUCCCGUUAAGGAUUCCUUCGUUAUUUUGUUAUGCUUUAAGGCUCAGGAAAAGCCUAGGCAAAACUCUUGGUGGGCUUUUGUUACAUUCCAGUCUUUGUAUAAGGGCACUGGCUUUUAAAACUUAGCCAGUCAGUCAGUACCGAAGCAGGUGUUAUGGAAGACUGCAUUAGUGAGACCUGGCCUGCCACAGGACCAAUACCUGGAAAUAGUGGGGUAUUUUUGUGCUCCUCAGGUAUGCGUUUUUGGACAUCCUUUUAUUGGAGAGCUGAAAGAGAAGGCUACCAUCUUUGGACGCCCUUUUACUGGAGAGCUGAAAGAGAAGGCUACUGAGAAGAUAUUUUUAAAGGAAUCUCAUCAAACAACCAGGGAGGAUCAACCACCAGAGAAAAGAAGAGACUGGGAGUCAUCACCAUGUCCCCAACAGAAUUUUCAUCUAUCCUUCUGAGGACAGCUCCAAGUGAUUACCUAGAGGACUUUGCUUCAUAAUAAGUCAACCUUCAUUCCUGUGCAGCCCCACCUCUCACCUUCCCAAAAUGUCUGCCUCCCAUCUUCUGGGUCCAUUCAUUCUCUCAAAUGAUUUGCUGCCCCUCAAAAGAAUUUUCCACGUUCCUCAUCUCUCCCCUCCCCUGGGAAAAAGCAUAUAUAAGCUUCUAUACCACCCUGGGUUAUUGGGUAAUCAUUCUCCAGCAAUUCUCCCAUCCUGUGCACAUCAAAUAAAUUCUGUAUGCGUUUUCUUUUAUUAAUGUGCUUUUUGUCUGUUGAUUUUCAGUGAGUCUUUAGAGGGCAAAGGGGAAAUUUUCUCCCUGCAAGAGUCUUAUUAUCCGAGUGUCUCUGCAAGCAGCACGUGGG